AAUAAAAUGACUAUGAAAUUUAACCCAAAUGACUCUAUAAAAUGCAUGUAUCACUUAUUCUCCAUCUAGUGCUGUAUGGUGGGCAAGUUACAGUUCAAGUGAAUGCAUAAUUUGGAGGUGAGACAUUCUUGCUUUUAUUUUCAAUAAAGUUUACAUUACUGCAUGCCAAAUUAUUUUUAGAAACCAAUCCUUACUGGAUCCAUCUUGCUCUGAUACAGUGAUACUAUCCUUGAAAUUUCAUUCUCUAUGCCACCACCUUUUUUGGGGGUUAGGGGAAUGGUUGUGUUAUCAACUCCAGUAACAUGUAGUUGAAAGUCAUGGGUAGUUGACAUCAAAUGUUCACAUGCUACCAAAUUUAGGAUUCCUGUUAUGGUAAAAACAGGAAGGACCAAAAGGUUAAGACUUAGGAAUGUGAUUUAUAUAACCUGCCACAUAUUUUUGGGUUAUAUGCUAAACAAGAGGCUAGGGGUGUGCUGUGUGCAAUCAGUCGGUUCAAUUCAAAACUAAACCUAGUCCGAAAACCCAAAAUGUGUUUAAUGAGAAAUCGAACCGAACCAAAAUAAAGAGCUAACUAAACUGAAUGGAACUGAAAUAAAUUAGUUCGGUUUGGUCCGUCUGUUCUGUCAUUUUAAAGAACUAAACAAAAUAACAGAUCAACAUCUGGAAACAAACCCCAUUAAUUCAUCAAACAAUCAAACAAGUCCAGCAUUCAAGGGACGGAUGUGAGCAAAAUCACUUUUUGAACUUAUAAGUAAUUGUUGUUUCUUCCUUCUUUCAAUCACAGGUAACCUCAUCUUUAAACCAAACCAGCAAAAAAGAAAAUAAAGGACCAUGGCUUAGAAUGAACAUUAGCGUUUGCUGUACAAGAUCGUAUAUUCUUGGGUAAUUAGGUUCCAUACGAGAAAAUGUACCAGUAAAGAAUGGUCCAUCACAAAACCUGUUUCUAUCUGUUGUAUUUCUCUGAUGUUAAACUAUAGCAAAAGACAAUUCCAAGGCACUCAGCAACACAGAAACAGUAAAAACCGAUGCAGAAAUUUGUUCGUGAUGCUACAAUACUGUGUUUGGAGAUCGUCCAGUUCCAGAACCAUCCAACACAAUUUCAAACAAAUCAGCUUCAGAUUCUUCAUCGAAAUCAACUGUCUGGUUAUUAGCACCAUUGCUGUUGUGGGUACCUUUAGUUGUAAUUCUAUUAAGCCACUGAGAGUCUAUCCUUCCCAUUGAGAAGAGUUCCUUGCUAUCUUCGUAGCCCAAAGCAGGGGAAUUUACAAGAGGGCCAAUGAAACAAGGAUUUGGUGUUCGUUGAGCAUUUGCCGCCGCAUAACUGAAAGCACUUUGUCCAAAAUUGACUAGAACUAAUGUCUCAUUGUUGGCUGCUAUUGUUGGGUACAAUGGUGUCCCAAAUUCCUCUGACUUGCAAUGAAUUACAUGGACCAGCUCUGCAUCUAAUGUGAAAAAUACUUUCUUUUGCCUUGGAUCGAAUCCACAACCAAUUACUUUAUCCCUUCUUGUCCAUUCUCCUCUUUCUGAUUCAAACACCAAUUUUAUCCCUUCAAGGUAGACUGAACCAUUGGAGUUGAAUCCUAUGGAACCUGGAUAGCUUCCAGGAAGUUUCAAAGGAAGAGAACCUCCUGUAGUGAGCCCUACAGAUAACAUAACAGCUUCUUGCUUGCCAUCAUCUUUACCAGCAAGCUUCGAUUCUUCAAUCUUGUUGAAUCGAUAGCUGCUACUAACAUGUAAUAAAGAUUCUGAAUUCAGUUUCGGGUUAGAAUUUUCUUGGAUAAGUUUAGUCUUCUCGCCUUCCGUAACCUUGGUGAUGGACUCAUCAUGAUCCUCGCCUUGAGAAUACAAAAUUGUGAUUUCAAAGUAGGCCUCUUGAGGAAAAGCUGAAUUCCCCAACGGAGGCCCUGGUAAAGGCAAAGCAGUUCUAAUUACAGAAGAAGCAGACAUAGAAGCAUUACUUACAUUAACCUUCUUUAAUCCAGAAUUUAGUCUUAUCUUUUGCAUGAAAUCAGCUGAUCCUUGACACACUUCCCAGCUUAUCUCCAUCUCCGCUUCCCUUCCAUUAUCGCCAACUGCACAGAAACCUAAGAGGGAUGAUCGCGUGGAGGGGGACGACAUAUAACCUGUAAAGCCAAAUCUAGACCAUCCAUUUUCAACUGCGUCUGUAAUAAGCGAUGGAUGAUCAAUCCAACUGAACAAAGGCCUAGCUGAAACCCCACGUCGGAAGACACAAUAAUUUCCUUUUCUUUUGCCGUCUAAUUCAAGCUGAUGGUGAAGAAUCCCUUGAUGAAGCUUUGUAAUCCCAUCUUGCAAGCUCUCUGUUCUAGUGGUCGUCGUUUCAACAGCGCCUUUACCUCUUCUGAAACAAGAGCAUCUCCGAAUAAACACGAUAAAAAUUAUGGCAAUAGCAAUAACAGACAACACCACCAACAGAAGAUGUUCCCAUUCAAGCAUUCUUCUUUCCAGAAAUCAAGUUUCCCUGUGCUUUCUAGUAUUGUAUAUGGGAUUAAGCAGGCAUGGGUCUUGGAGAUUUUUUUUAAGAAGGGAAGAGGUUAUGAGGAAGGAGGCGUGGACCAAGACUGGUCCUAGAAAGGCAGGAAGAUGGUGUAUGCAAACCGCAAAACAAAGCAAAAAAGGCGACAUUUUCAAAGAGAUGGCAUUAACGUUUUUUUCUUUCCAGUCCAUGGUUAAAUUAAUUAGUGAGAACCGACAGUCUUCCCUCUCUAAAGAACGCAUUAGUUGAUUCAUAAUGUCAUACUAAUUUUCAAAGGGGAAAGAGAGAGAGAGAGAGGCAAAACUCAAGAAAGAAGUUGAUUAAGUGCAGUAUAGCUAACGAUAGUACAGGUUGUUUCAUAGUUAUUAAAAUUUGCCAAAAGGAAGAGGGUAAAAAAAACUACUACAUGCCUGAAAGUGAUGCCAAUAUGUAAAUUAAACUGUCAAGAAUGAAUUCUUCAAAAACUAUAUUGAUCAAUGAACAGAAGGAAGAACCAAUACCUCCUGAGGAAGUUCAUGUGCA
Molecule: unclassified non-coding RNA, 3016 nt
Filed under: Hevea brasiliensis (rubber tree)
Lineage: Eukaryota; Viridiplantae; Streptophyta; Magnoliopsida; Malpighiales; Euphorbiaceae
Source: RNAcentral